UUUCCGUAGGUGAACCUGCGGAAGGAUCAUUAAAUAGUAGCCCCCACUUGUGGGGGCGAACAAGAACCCACCCUUUGUCUUUGGUGUACCUUACGUUUCCCCGGCAGGUCCGCCUGCCAUCGGGGACAUACACAAAACCUAUUUCGUAGUAUGCAGUAAACGUCAACCUACAAAUAAUCAAAACUUUCAACAACGGAUCUCUUGGUUCUGGCAUCGAUGAAGAACGCAGC
RNAcentral lists this unclassified non-coding RNA (230 nucleotides) under uncultured fungus. RNAcentral's name for it is "sequence contains ITS1, 5.8S rRNA gene". The stretch from base 182 to 230 matches the Rfam family "5.8S ribosomal RNA", at positions 1 to 49 of the family's 154-position model. The record is from RNAcentral. Lineage: Eukaryota; Fungi.